UACGAAGGGGGCUAGCGUUGCUCGGAAUCACUGGGCGUAAAGCGCACGUAGGCGGCUUCUUAAGUCAGGGGUGAAAUCCUGGAGCUCAACUCCAGAACUGCCUUUGAUACUGAGGAUCUUGAGUUCGGGAGAGGUGAGUGGAACUGCGAGUGUAGAGGUGAAAUUCGUAGAUAUUCGCAAGAACACCAGUGGCGAAGGCGGCUCACUGGCCCGAUACUGACGCUGAGGCACGAAAGCGCGGGGAGCAAACAGG
This 253-nucleotide ribosomal RNA is filed under the name uncultured bacterium. Its description in RNAcentral is "partial 16S ribosomal RNA". It matches the Rfam family "Bacterial small subunit ribosomal RNA", at positions 524 to 776 of the family's 1533-position model. The record is from RNAcentral.